UUGGUGGGGCAAUGGCCUACCAAGGCGACGACGGGUAGCCGGCCUGAGAGGGCGACCGGCCACACUGGGACUGAGACACGGCCCAGACUCCUACGGGAGGCAGCAGUGGGGAAUAUUGCACAAUGGGCGGAAGCCUGAUGCAGCGACGCCGCGUGAGGGAUGACGGCCUUCGGGUUGUAAACCUCUUUCAGCAGGGACGAAGCGCAAGUGACGGUACCUGCAGAAGAAGCGCCGGCCAACUACGUGCCAGCAGCCGCGGUAAGACGUAGGGCGCGAGCGUUGUCCGGAUUUAUUGGGCGUAAAGAGCUCGUAGGCGGCUUGUCGCGUCGACUGUGAAAUCUCAGGGCUCAACUCUGACAUCGCAGUCGAUACGGGCAGGCUAGAGUUCGGUAGGGGAGACUGGAAUUCCUGGUGUAGCGGUGAAAUGCGCAGAUAUCAGGAGGAACACCGAUGGCGAAGGCAGGUCUCUGGGCCGAUACUGACGCUGAGGAGCGAAAGCGUGGGGAGCGAACAGGAUUAGAUACCCUGGUAGUCCACGCUGUAAACGUUGGGCGCUAGGUGUGGGGGGCCUCUCCGGUUUCCUGCGCCGCAGCUAACGCAUUAAGCGCCCCGCCUGGGGAGUACGG
Molecule: ribosomal RNA, 626 nt
Filed under: uncultured bacterium
Lineage: Bacteria
Description: bacterial SSU rRNA
Rfam family: Bacterial small subunit ribosomal RNA
Source: RNAcentral